RNAcentral lists this ribosomal RNA (341 nucleotides) under uncultured Glomeromycotina. Its description in RNAcentral is "eukaryotic LSU rRNA". The record is from RNAcentral. Lineage: Eukaryota; Fungi; Glomeromycota.
AUCAGCCUUUCGGGUGCGAUUCUGUGGGGUUUGAGGAGCUUAACACCUUCAUGCUUUGCAUAUUCGUGCUCUUGGGUGUACUUGCCCGUGUGGUUGGUUAACAUCAAUUUUGGUGGUCAUAAAAUGACUGGAGGAAUGUAGCUUCGAUCUUGUAUUGAAGUGUUAUAGCCUUCGGUAGAUGUGAUGAUCGAGAUUGAGGAUUGCAACGGAUACCCUUCGGGGCCACCUGUCUGAUCUCUGAUCGUUGUUCUGGUGCCGAAAGCUUGCUUACGGUUAUCAAAGUCGAUGGUCAAUAGGUUAGAACGGGUUAAAUUCGUUAAGGAUGUUGACGUAAUGGCUUU